AAAAUUAGAAAAAUAACUUUCUUCACUUAUUGGAGGAUUUUUUUACAACAUUUAACUUUGAACAUAUUAUUAAUCUCGACGGCUCAAAAGUUUCAUUUCAAUGUUCUCUAAUUUACUAUUAUUAUUAAUAUUUAUUAUAUUUAUAUGUAUUUUUUACUCACCAACCAAAUAUUUAGAAUUAUUUUUUAUAAAAUAUUUUCUAGGAAUACACAUUUUUCAUGGAAAAGACUUCCACAUACUAAGCACACAAUAAAUAAAAUUUAUACUUUAUAUCAAUUACUAACUAAUCAAAAAUAAUGAAAUUAAAAUACCUCAUAAAUUAUUAGGUUUGAAUUAAGUGAAAGAAAUCAAACAAAAGAUAUUACUAAUAUUUAGAGUCCGUUUGGCCAAGCCGCCAAAAACUACUUAUUUUGAAAAGUGUUUUUAUUCAAAAGUACUUUUGCAAAAUAAGUAGUUUGUGUUUGGCCGAUUCAUUUGAGUAGUGCUUUUUGCAAGCUCAUCGUGCUUGGCCAAUCUUUUAAAAAGCACUUUUAAAUAUCAAAUUACGAAAAAGAACAGUAAAGGUUCAAUUUGCGAUUAGUAUUAUUUAGAAAAGAAAAAUAAAUUUAAACAUUUAUUAGAAAAGAAUUCAAUUAAAAUAUAAAAUGUAAGUAAAAAUAUAAAUUAAAAUUUUUAAUUAAUAUAAAAUAUAGUUAUUCCAAAGCAACAAUAUUGAGUGCUUGGUAUUACUUAUUAUUCAUAUGAUAAUUUAAAUAUGUCAAAAUACAUCAUUCAAUAUAAAUUUAAAAUCAACUCUUAAGAAUAGGAGAAAGAGAAUAGAAAUUUGAUUAAAAUAAAAAAGAGAAUAAACGUAUAGUAGAAAAAAAAAGAAAAUAGAAAAGGAAAAAAAAGAAAUAUUAAAUUAAUCAAGGAUAAGUUGAAAAAUAUAAAUUUAUUAUAAUAUUAUUUUUAUCUUAAACAAAUUAACUUUAUCUUCUUGAAAGAAGCUAAAAUUUAUAGUUUUUACUGCUAACAAGUGCUUUUUCAUUUUGGCUUUUACUUUCAAAUCUAAUUCUCAAAAUUUCAAUUUUUUCACAUUGGUACCCAAAAAUCUCAAAUUAUCUUUCAUCCUCAUCUAGAAACAGUAUUUUUCACAUCUCUACAGUUCGCUUCUGUCAGCUCCUACCCCCGAUUGUCAGCUCCUCUUCCUGCAAAAAGAAAGAUUUUAUCUAAAAAGGGUGCCAAUUUUUCUAAUUUUUCUUACAGAUCCGACAACCCAAUUUCUCUGCUACAAUUUCAAGAUUUUCUUUGCUGUAAGUAUUUCAGAAUGUUGUUGAUAAAAUUAAGCUGUAUGCUAUGCGAAUCACAUUUAUUGAAGGUAUCAAUCAAUCAAUCAAUCAAUCAAUCAAUCAAUCAAAUUGGGAUUGGCUAUAUGAAUCCCCCAUAGCUAUUUUGCUCUGUGGGGAUAUGUGUAUUAAACGGUAUUGUGAAAUUGACAAUCUGCUACUGAAUUAAAAUUGUAUGUACUGAGAUUUAGGAUGAAAUUGCAUAUACGGAGCUGAAUUAUUUGCUGCUGCCUGAAGGAAAACUGGAUUUUUAUCUGAAAUUAAGUGGGUUUGCUUGACUAUUCUUUUCAGCAUUAUAUAGUGUGAUUCUAACAGUAAUUAUUUGCAAGUAUUGGAAUGAAAAGGGCAAGAGAGCAGCAAAAUGGAUAUAGAGGGUCAUAUAGUUAGUUGAUCCCAACUAGUAUGGGAUUGAGACGUAGUUGAUUAUUUACUGGUUGAAGGUGCUAAACUUAAGCAUGUAACCCAAAGCUGGCUAAAUAAUUGAGAAAAGCUGAGAUAUUUCGAGCUAUCAAUGCUAGAGGAAGUCACUUUGAAUUGGGGUUAUCUCCAAUUUGUUUAUAUGAAAAAUUCAAAUAAGGAGGCUACAAAAGUUUUUUCCUCCCAAUUGAGGACCUUUAAGUUUACUUUAAAAACCUCAUUGGCUUCUGUAGCAGAACCAACUACCAGCAUUGUUAUCUGAACACUUUACUACUUGAAAAUGGACCUUAAUUGUUGAAUUUUCUAAUUCAACCUACAGUUAUAGAGCACUGUGGUGCAAGGGGUUUUUUUUUUUUUUUUUUGAGAAGGAGCAAGGUUGUGCUUUUCUUAAAAUUGUGCCUGUCAUAUUAAGUUGUGCUUAUCUGCACCUUGCAUUUCUACGAGCU
Molecule: long non-coding RNA, 2188 nt
Filed under: Nicotiana tabacum (common tobacco)
Lineage: Eukaryota; Viridiplantae; Streptophyta; Magnoliopsida; Solanales; Solanaceae
Description: long non-coding RNA (NTAB_LNC013452)
Source: RNAcentral